Molecule: ribosomal RNA, 372 nt
Filed under: uncultured bacterium
Lineage: Bacteria
Description: bacterial SSU rRNA
Rfam family: Bacterial small subunit ribosomal RNA
Source: RNAcentral
AUACGGAGGAUCCGAGCGUUAUCCGGAUUUAUUGGGUUUAAAGGGAGCGUAGGCGGAUGUUUAAGUCAGUGGUGAAAGUUUAAGGCUCAACGUUAAAAUUGCAAUUGAUACUGAAGGUCUUGAGUGCAUUUGAUGUGGGCGGAAUUCGUAGUGUAGCGGUGAAAUGCUUAGAUAUUACAAAGAACUCCAAUUGCGAAGGCAGCUAACAGGACUGUAACUGACGCUGAUGCACGAAAGUGUGGGGAUCGAACAGGAUUAGAUACCCUGGUAGUCCACACAGUAAACGAUGAAUACUCGCUGUUUGCGAUAUACAGUAAGCGGCCAAGCGAAAGCGUUAAGUAUUCCACCUGGGGAGUACGCCGGCAACGGUGA